CCCUUAGAUGUUCUGGGCUGCACGCGCGCUACACUGAUGUGUUCAUCGGGUUCGACCUUGCCCGGGAGGGUUGGGUAAUCCUUUCAAAACACAUCGUGAUGGGGAUAGAUUAUUGCAAUUAUUAAUCUUCAACGAGGAAUUCCUAGUAAGCGCGAGUCAUCAGCUCGUGCUGAUUACGUCCCUGCCCUUUGUACACACCGCCCGUCGCUCCUACCGAUUGAGCGAUCCGGUGAAUAAUUCGGACUGCAGCAGUGUCCAGUUCCUGGACGUUGCAGCGGAAAGUUUAGUGAACCUUAUCACUUAGAGGAAGGAGAAGUCGUAACA
RNAcentral lists this ribosomal RNA (324 nucleotides) under uncultured eukaryote. Its description in RNAcentral is "partial 18S ribosomal RNA". It matches the Rfam family "Eukaryotic small subunit ribosomal RNA", at positions 1470 to 1796 of the family's 1831-position model. The record is from RNAcentral.